RNAcentral lists this ribosomal RNA (591 nucleotides) under Aspergillus niger. Its description in RNAcentral is "eukaryotic LSU rRNA". It matches the Rfam family "Eukaryotic large subunit ribosomal RNA", at positions 51 to 657 of the family's 3401-position model. Lineage: Eukaryota; Fungi; Ascomycota; Eurotiomycetes; Eurotiales; Aspergillaceae. The record is from RNAcentral.
CGGAGGAAAAGAAACCAACCGGGAUUGCCUCAGUAACGGCGAGUGAAGCGGCAAGAGCUCAAAUUUGAAAGCUGGCUCCUUCGGAGUCCGCAUUGUAAUUUGCAGAGGAUGCUUUGGGUGCGGCCCCCGUCUAAGUGCCCUGGAACGGGCCGUCAGAGAGGGUGAGAAUCCCGUCUUGGGCGGGGUGUCCGUGCCCGUGUAAAGCUCCUUCGACGAGUCGAGUUGUUUGGGAAUGCAGCUCUAAAUGGGUGGUAAAUUUCAUCUAAAGCUAAAUACUGGCCGGAGACCGAUAGCGCACAAGUAGAGUGAUCGAAAGAUGAAAAGCACUUUGAAAAGAGAGUUAAACAGCACGUGAAAUUGUUGAAAGGGAAGCGCUUGCGACCAGACUCGCCCGCGGGGUUCAGCCGGCAUUCGUGCCGGUGUACUUCCCCGUGGGCGGGCCAGCGUCGGUUUGGGCGGCCGGUCAAAGGCCCCUGGAAUGUAGUACCCUCCGGGGUACCUUAUAGCCAGGGGUGCAAUGCGGCCAGCCUGGACCGAGGAACGCGCUUCGGCACGGACGCUGGCAUAAUGGUCGUAAACGACCCGUCUUGA